UCGUCAGCUCGUGCCGUGAGGUGUCGGCUUAAGUGCCAUAACGAGCGCAACCCCUCUCUCCGGUUGCCAUCAGGCAAUGCUGGGCACUCCGGAGACACUGCCGCCGCAAGGUGUGAGGAAGGUGGGGAUGACGUCAAAUCAGCACGGCCCUUACGUCCGGGGCUACACACGUGUUACAAUGGCCGGUACAGAGCGUCGGAGGCCCGCAAGGUCCUUCCAAUCGUUAAAUCCGGUCCCAGUUCGGACUGGGGUCUGCAACCCGACCCCACGAAGCUGGAUUCGCUAGUAAUCGCGCAUCAGCCAUGGCGCGGUGAAUACGUUCCCGGGCCUUGUACACACCGCCCGUCAAGCCAUGAAAGCCGGGGGUGCCUGAAGUCCGUGACCGCAAGGAUCGGCCUAGGGCAAAACCGGUGAUUGGGGCUAAGUCGUAACAAGGUAGCCGUA
This 444-nucleotide ribosomal RNA is filed under the name uncultured bacterium. RNAcentral describes it as "bacterial SSU rRNA". It matches the Rfam family "Bacterial small subunit ribosomal RNA", at positions 1052 to 1504 of the family's 1533-position model. The record is from RNAcentral.